CUGCAAAAGACGAAUGUCCUGAUGGAAAGGAAAGUCUUGCUUCCUUUAUAAGAUCUUCAUCUCCAGUGCAUUCAUAAUCUGUUAUAAAGUUCUUUUGAAAUCCCGUUGUGCAGUUGAGUUUGGAGAAAUCAGGUUUACAAACUGCAAGGAAAUGUGGCCGCAGUCUUCCAAUCGAGUAUUUCCCAACAUCAGUAAGGACAACAGUUGCUGCGGCACCAACCAGAAAACACGUGUACACAGCACAUAGCCAGCGAAACCUACAAAACAGUUCAAUUAUAUCAAAUACGAGCCUACUCACAAUGGACCCGCUUACGCAGAGGUCUUGCCUACACGUAAAAACGCGCAAGUUUUUACAAAUCUGCAAACAAGUUGGAACAAGAUUGUUGUCAGGCCGAUAUCAGGACGUGUCCACGUUGCUUGUUUGCAGUUGUUGUGACAAG
Non-coding RNA from Paramuricea clavata, 440 nucleotides. The record is from the annotation of a GenBank genome assembly. NCBI's taxonomy places the organism in Eukaryota, Metazoa, Cnidaria, Anthozoa, Malacalcyonacea, Plexauridae.